RNAcentral lists this microRNA (22 nucleotides) under Mus musculus (house mouse). RNAcentral's name for it is "mmu-miR-877-3p". Its record names the gene mmu-miR-877-3p. The record is from miRBase by way of RNAcentral. Lineage: Eukaryota; Metazoa; Chordata; Mammalia; Rodentia; Muridae.
UGUCCUCUUCUCCCUCCUCCCA